RNAcentral lists this ribosomal RNA (345 nucleotides) under Triticum aestivum (bread wheat). RNAcentral's name for it is "partial small subunit ribosomal RNA". Lineage: Eukaryota; Viridiplantae; Streptophyta; Magnoliopsida; Poales; Poaceae. The record is from RNAcentral.
AUGUUCCUCCACAGCGAACAUACCCCCUUACUUUUGGAUUUGUUUCUUGGGUUUAAGAGUUCUGCAUUUGUACAGUGUUAUAAUUGCAUGUUUUCCUCAUCCUUUUCCCUAGCUGUUGUGUAUGUUGUUUCCAUGAGAGCUUUUGUUGCGCAGUUUGCUAUACACCAAACAUCUACUAGAGGUCGUGAUGACAAGUACUAUGGCUUACAUGCCACGAUGGAUGUGUACGGUCACAAACUAAAACCCGGACAGUGGAGUACGGUUGCAAUUUGGGUUACUCAUACUGGAGAUGGUGCUAGAUCAAGCAUUAACUCGAUUCAAGUUGGAUGGCAUAUUUAUCCAUAG